UAAGAUUUUGUUGUUGGUUUGAGUUAGUUUGUCAACGAUACAGAGAAUAUUAGCAUGGCCCCUGCGCAAGGAUGAGAUGUAACGACCUGUUUAGUCGUUCU
This 101-nucleotide small nuclear RNA is filed under the name Nicotiana attenuata. Lineage: Eukaryota; Viridiplantae; Streptophyta; Magnoliopsida; Solanales; Solanaceae. The record is from RNAcentral.